Non-coding RNA from Roridomyces roridus, 91 nucleotides. NCBI's taxonomy places the organism in Eukaryota, Fungi, Basidiomycota, Agaricomycetes, Agaricales, Mycenaceae. The record is from the annotation of a GenBank genome assembly.
AGCCUGAUGGUGAAAUUCAGCAUACCCGCUUCAAGUACACCCUGUCUUCUUGAGCUGGCGGGGGAUCCUCGUUCGACUCGAGGUCAGGCUU